GGGAGAACAUUCUAUCUCCAUGGCUACUCUUGGCCAGCCAUGGCUGAUUCGAAAAAUUUAUUUUGUUGCCAUUUUGAUGCCAUUUUGAUUAAGUUUCAAGUGAAUUACAAGUUCAAGGAGGUGGUAGCAACAUUGGAUAUUGAAUUGACGAAGAAGAAAUUGUGAAAUUGGAGCAAUUGAGUGUAGAAAUUCCUCCGAGAAAAUUUAGGCUAAAGGGACGACGAAGCGAACGAGAGUGCGAUUAACCUUCAGCAGGUACAAACACUCGAUUCGGUGAUCCCCCAGCUUAGGAUUUCCAGUCAGCUGUCUUGGAGAGCUCCGUUGUUCCGGAGCCUAGACUUUUGGUACAGAUCUUCUGAUGUAUUUAUAUAUGGUUGUCCAGGGGUACGACGGGGCCCUGUCCCGUCAUAUUUCACUAUUAGUACUCUUAGAGGUCUGUAGACAUAUGUGUGAGUUGUGUAUAUAUGUUGUUCAGUUGUGUCUAUAUGACUUAUAUUUUGGAACGUUCCCAUUCGUAGUGGCAGCCUUGUCGGCUUGCGUAUAUACAUAUUUUGGGAUGUUGUAUGUAGUGGCAGCCUUGUCGGCUUGCGUGUGUAUAGUUGGGACGUUC
Lycium barbarum (goji berry) is the source of this 610-nucleotide long non-coding RNA. RefSeq lists it as uncharacterized. The record is from RefSeq and is a predicted model, not a curated record. The transcript is spliced from 3 exons. Lineage: Eukaryota; Viridiplantae; Streptophyta; Magnoliopsida; Solanales; Solanaceae.